AGCCCUCUACUCAGAGCCCUGUACCCAGACAAUCAGACCCAGAGCCCUCUACCCAGACACCCAGACCCAGAGCCCUGUACCCAAACCCAGAGCCCUCUGCCCAGACACCCAAACCCAGAGCCCUCUACCCAGACACCCAGACCCAGAGUCCUCUACCCAGACAUCCAAACCCAGAGCCCUCUGCCCAGACACCCAGACCCAGAGCCCUCUACCCAGACACCUCUACCCAGAUACCCAGACCCAGGUUCCCAGACCCAGAGCCCUCUACCCAGACACCCAGACCCAGAGUCCUUUACCCAGACCCAGAGCCCUGUACCCAGACCCAGAGUCCUACACCCAGAGCCCUCUACCCAGACACCCGGACCCAGAGCCCUCUACCCAGACACCCGGACCCAGAGCCCUCUACCCAGACACCCGGACCCAGAGCCCUCUAACCAGACACCCAGACCCAGAGCCCUCUACCCAGACACCCAGACCCAGAGCCCUCUACUCAGAGCUCUGUACCCAGACAAUCAGACCUAGAAGCCCUGUACCAGAGGAACAUGGUGUGUCCUGAUCCCUGCAACUGUCUGCUUUCCAUCUCCAACCAACCUCCAAGCUCU
This 602-nucleotide long non-coding RNA is filed under the name Salmo salar (Atlantic salmon). RNAcentral's name for it is "lncRNA (ENSSSAG00000087466.1, ENSSSAG00000106638.1)". The record is from RNAcentral. Lineage: Eukaryota; Metazoa; Chordata; Actinopteri; Salmoniformes; Salmonidae.